RNAcentral lists this ribosomal RNA (345 nucleotides) under Malandena monteithi. RNAcentral describes it as "partial large subunit ribosomal RNA". It matches the Rfam family "Bacterial large subunit ribosomal RNA", at positions 1810 to 2536 of the family's 2925-position model. Lineage: Eukaryota; Metazoa; Mollusca; Gastropoda; Stylommatophora; Helicarionidae. The record is from RNAcentral.
AAAACAUAGUCUUAUGAUAUAAGGUGAAACCUGCCCAAUGAUAAAUUUAAAUGGCCGCAGUACUUUGACUGUGCUAAGGUAGCAUAAUAAAUUGACUUUUAAUUGGAGCCUAGAAUGAAAGGAUUGGUAAAUUCUGUCUUAUUUAAUUAAUUAAAAGUUACUUAAAAGGUGAAAAUACCUUUAUAUUAUAAAAUAGACGAGAAGACCCUAGGAGUUUUAAAUUUUGUUGGGGCAACAGUAUAGCAAUAUCUAUGUAUAAUCUAUUAAAACGAAAAAUAUUAAUAAUAAGUAAACUACCCUAGGGAUAACAGCAUAAUUUAUUAAGAUUGUGACCUCGAUGUUGGA